AGGACGAACGCUGGCGGCGUGCUUAACACAUGCAAGUCGAGCGGAAAGGCCCUUCGGGGUACUCGAGCGGCGAACGGGUGAGUAACACGUGGGCAACCUGCCCUUAGCUCUGGGAUAGCUCCGGGAAACCGGAAUUAAUACCGGAUAUGACCUAGGCCGACAUCGGCCGUGGUGGAAAGUUUUUCGGCUAGGGAUGGACUCGCGGCCUAUCAGCUAGUUGGUGGGGUAAUGGCCUACCAAGGCGACGACGGGUAGCCGGCCUGAGAGGGCGACCGGCCACACUGGGACUGAGACACGGCCCAGACUCCUACGGGAGGCAGCAGUGGGGAAUAUUGGACAAUGGGCGCAAGCCUGAUCCAGCAAUGCCGCGUGAGUGAUGAAGGCCUUAGGGUUGUAAAGCUCUUUCGCCGCGACGAUGAUGACGGUAGCGGGAGAAGACGCCCCGGCUAACGUCGCGCCAGCAGCCGC
This 468-nucleotide ribosomal RNA is filed under the name uncultured bacterium. Its description in RNAcentral is "SSU rRNA". It matches the Rfam family "Bacterial small subunit ribosomal RNA", at positions 26 to 518 of the family's 1533-position model. The record is from RNAcentral.